CCUGUCCCUAGAAGCAUCGCAUGUGUGGCUGCUGUGUCACAUGUGCAUCAGUAGGUGGCAGAGAAAAGAAAGGCUAUGCCUAGACUCAAGUGUUCAGAUCUGUAAACAUCUGAAUGAUUCGCAGCCUAACAUU
Mus spicilegus (steppe mouse) is the source of this 133-nucleotide small nucleolar RNA. Ensembl annotates it as predicted gene, 25408. NCBI's taxonomy places the organism in Eukaryota, Metazoa, Chordata, Mammalia, Rodentia, Muridae. The record is from Ensembl.